RNAcentral lists this ribosomal RNA (261 nucleotides) under uncultured archaeon. Its description in RNAcentral is "partial 16S ribosomal RNA". It matches the Rfam family "Archaeal small subunit ribosomal RNA", at positions 748 to 1008 of the family's 1478-position model. The record is from RNAcentral.
CAGCCGUAAACUAUGCGCGCUAGGUGUAUCGGUGACCACGAGUUACCGAGGUGCCGAAGGGAAACCGUGAAACGUGCCGCCUGGGAAGUACGGUCGCAAGGCUGAAACUUAAAGGAAUUGGCGGGGGAGCACCACAACAGGUGGAGCCUGCGGUUUAAUUGGACUCAACGCCGGGAAGCUCACCGGAUAGGACAGCAGAAUGAUUGCCGGGCUGAAGACCCUGCAUGACUAGCUGAGAGGAGGUGCAUGGCGUCAGUGACU